Long non-coding RNA from Amphiprion ocellaris (clown anemonefish), 20727 nucleotides. RefSeq lists it as uncharacterized. Lineage: Eukaryota; Metazoa; Chordata; Actinopteri; Pomacentridae. The transcript has 2 exons. The record is from RefSeq and is a predicted model, not a curated record.
GAGUCCCCCCCUCCUCAACACCCAGCCUCACCCGCUCUCCCCGACUCUGCCUCCACCCACCACACUGCCCCCGGUUAGCCUCCCCCAGACCACAACGUGCAUUUAGAGCGAAUCUGACAUCCGCCAUGUUCAGUUUCCAGUCUGCAUUUGACAUUUUAUGAACUUUGCAUACAUCUUUCAUCCAAAUCCUACCAUAGCAACACAUGCUAACGAGUGUUCCCUUAUUUGUCAGAAAGAAAUAAAAGUAACAAGUCCUGAUAAUCAAACAAGAAUGACCAAUUAUCCCCAAUUUUUUUCAUUCAUUCAUUCAUUCAUUCAGUCAGUCAUUCAUUCAGCCUUCAUUUAAACUGGGAAUAUACUAAGUUAUGGGUGUCUUAUUUACUAGUAAGACAAUAAAAAAACAAUAUUUAUUAGUUAAUAAAGUAGUAGCUAAUAAUUGAGUAUUUAAAUUUUAAAAACAAAUACAUUGACUUACACAAGAACAGAUUUAAGUAAAACAAAUUAGGAAAUUCAAACCUAAAGAGGUAAAAAUAAAUCCAGCUUUGGAUUGUUCUGCAGGUCGUUCCAAGUAGCAGGUACACAGCGAGUCAAACUGAGUAAAAUCAGCUGACACCUGCUAUGUAAUCCAUUGAAUUAGGGCCCUGAUGUAAGGGAGUAAGCAAACAAUAGAGGCCUUUUAUGUAAAUAAAACCCAGUGGCUGUGAUACUUGACUGAGAAAGGGGGUGCACCCAACUUUACACACAUACAUGUCAUUAUCACCUGUAUUAAAUCUUAAUGCAGAGAGACAGAAUGCCUAAAGGCUUAUGAGUUACACUUUAGACAUGUAUGUAGAAAAUGCUGCAAAAAAAUACUCUUUUGUCUCAAUUUAAUCAUUUUAUUAGUCCCAUUGUAUUUAUAUAUCAACUUCUCUUUUAUCCACAUAUUUAUAUUCUAAAUAUUUGUGCAAUGUAUAGUAGAGAUGACAAGAUUAUCAUAAUUAAUAUUUUAUCUCCUAUAAGAAUUAAUUUAGGGAUAUUGAGUGCAACUUAGUGAUUUAACAGCAGAAUGUGUCGUAUCUGCACUACAGUACAAAAUUAUAUCAUGGGCAUGAAAAUGUAUGUUACCCCCAGAUACAUAGGUAGCAAUAGCACAUCCACUAUGUAAAAAGACUGAACAGCACAAGCCCUAAGAUGAAGAGCCUUGUGGCAAUAGCAAUUUUCCAGCAAUUUUUGCAAAAAACAUUUGAUCUAACAUUUUAAACAGCUACACUCUGAUGUCUAUUCAUGAGGUAACUGAAAUCAUUUGAAAGCACUACUGUGUAGCUUUUACAAGUACAACUGUAUCUAAUGCCUUUAAAAGAGAAAUAAAAAGAGCUGCCAAAUUUUUCUCAGAUAUGUGAUUUCAUCCUUAAAUGUUUACAGUUGUGCAUGUUUGACAUGUUGGUCAUAUCAGACAAAUAGUGUGUUAAUUGAGUGAAUGAGUGAUUAAUUGGGAUCAUGUUUCUAUUUAUCUGAUGGACAUAAGUCCAACAUUUAUUCUCUUUGAGCUCUGAUUUUGGUCUCCACCACCUCAACUGUGAUUAACGUAAACAUGUUAACUUCUAAAUGAUCCCUUGUGUUCUUCAGCCAGUCUCUUUCACUGUAAGACUGUUUGGUGUUCGGUGUUAGGUAGUGCACAGUGGCUUCUUAGAGCCUUUUCUCUUCUCCAUAAGCAAUGGCUCCAAAUGUCUCUUUUCCAAUUUAACAGCCCUGAACCAAAAUAUAUUUAAACCGACACAUAUACAGAGGCACAUUGUACUGAUGAAAACAUAAACAAGUGUUCAUGGAGCAGCUCUAUUAGCUUUAUUUAGGGGAGAAGAAUACAAGAUAGCAUGCAAAGCUCACAUAUUUGCUUGUAUACAUGAAAUGCUGAAUGGAUUUGUUAUAGUAAAUGUUGUUGUAUGGUUGGGAUGUAAAUUAUAGCUCCUGAAUCCAAGCUAAUCAAAGUUUAUCUUGUAAAUCUUAGUAUUUAAUUUAUUCUACAUUCUGAAAUGGAAGAAAUUUAAAAUGUCAAGUCUAAAUAGAGCACAAAAUAUCACUCACUGAUAAGUCAAACUCAAGGUCCACUUACUUAUCCAUGUGAUAAAGUCAAAAGCUCCAGAACAAGUGGAGUAGCUUGAGUUGCAAAAUUAAGUCUUCAUGUUGUGGUCAAAUUCGCUCUAAAUGCAUUUUCAGCCUCACCCCAGCUCCCUCCCCCACCUCGCCUCCCCCCAUAGUGCUAUAAUAACUUGUAAUAAUUUACAACACCCUCAACUCACACACAGCACUGAAGGUGAAGCAGCCUCCCCGGCCCUGUCGCUCCGUCCUUCUCAUCCGCCUCCUCUUCUUCUCUUUCUCCUCAUCAUCACCCCUCUACUCCCCUCCUCCACGUCCUGCUCUGAAACAACCCCAUCUGGAAGCCAAGCACCACUAGCAGGCUGGUUUAAGAGCUAGCAGCACCACAGGAAAGGGUCAUAUAUGAAUUGUUUCAAUAAUUCUUCCAACAGUUGCUGUCUUAUUUUUCAGUGUGCUUGUGUUUUUGCUGCAGGUUGUAAUUGCUAAAGGUAUCAUUAGCAAAAAGAAGGGGAAAAAAGCAUUGAACUUCAAUGUUGUUUACACAGAGAAAUAGAUAAAAAUCCCAACAAUGGAAGACUAAGAUGCAAGACGUGUAUUAAAGAAGAAUUAAAUUUCAAAGUAAAGUACAAAAUAAAGUCAAAAAAUAAGCAAAAUUCUAGAAAUGCUAUCAAACACUUUUUUUUGCAACGGUUGAUUUUACAUUCCUCCAUUAUAUAAAGGAGUGCAAACAUCCUAGAGUCGACACAAUAUAGCAUUAAAUGUAUAAGAAUAAAUGAUUCAUCUACAUGAAAAUACAAGACAUUAAAAAAGACAAUUUUACAAAAAAACAUGAAUCUAAUGAUCCUAUUUAUUUAUUGACCCUACAUUUUGCUGGUUAAUAUUCAGGGUUGAAACAGUUUUGAAUAAUUUUGAAUGGUCUGUCUAGAUGUAAUAAUAAUGGAAACGGGAUCUUGUGAAGUGACAUGAGCACUUCUGUGCAUAUAACAUUGUUCUAUUUUUAGCUUACAAGUCCCUAAAAAUUCUGCAAUCUACAUUAAUAUGAAAUAGACUUUGAAUGUUGGUUAAUUAGAAACUUGUUUUACGCGGAAACAAACUGUGGGUGUUCACACAGCAGGGGGCGCUGCAGGAAGAUGUUCACAGGGGUUUCAUAUAACAUCAACAUGUUUUCCAAAAUGAAAGUUCAAUUUUCUGUCUCACAAAGUCCCAGAAGCAGACUCAAAUGAGCAAUGAAUGUAACUAAUAAGUGUUUUGUCUGUUUCAAAGUCGGAAAAUAUCUAAUGUAAGGCUGCAUUAGAAGAUUAAAUGUGUCAUAGCCAUAGACUGUGCAGUACAACAGAAGCGAGUACACCCUUGCACAAUAUCUCUUAAAUGUCAGAUGGUUCUAAAUUGUAUCAACUCUUAAUAAUAUUGUUAUUCCUAAGUUGAACAGUAGAAUAUUUACUGUUAUGAACUAUCAAUAAUAUUUGCCUAUAUUGAAAAUACAAGCAGAAACUAAAUGCAACAAACAUGAAUACAGCUGUAACAACUGACACACAAGUUAUAAAAAACAUAAUCAUUGAAACAAAAGUGAAUACGGCUGUGAUUAUUGACACACGUUAGAAAACUGACUGAAGCAAAACUGAGUAGAGCUGUGGUUUCCAAUUAGCUUAAUUAUAUUAACAUGGUUCUAAAAUGGCCUGCGAACACCAGAACAGUUUUGUUUUUGACCUAUUGGCUGCGUCUGUCUGUGUCUCCAUCAUGGCUCCACAUGGAAAACGAUUCCUCGAGGAAUAAGAUGCAACCACAGACAGUUCAGUCCUUUCACAAUCUAUCUCUGCUGGAUCCUGACCAGGAGACACCAAAGUGAAUGCAUUGUCCUAUCAGUGAAGCAUUGAAGUGGUGUGAUGGAAUGGGUGAAAAAUGUGUUGCGGGAGAUGACAUUAAUAGAUGGCACCAUGAAGGCUUGUGGAUAUACCAAAAUACAAUCUGACAAGAUAGCUACCAGUCUGCAGAAGCUUGGCAGAAGAGGAAUAUUUCAGCAUAAGGUUCAAAUCUCACUGCCAAAUUACAAGAGUUUCUAAAAAAGAAAAAAGUGUAAACAAUGACCUGUGACUAGAAUCCAGUAGGAAGUGUAGUUUAGUUUUACAAUGAUGCAAAUACCCUCCUGUUGAAUUUACAAGUAAUGUAGUUAUUGAAAAACAAUACAAAUGUUGAAGCAUAUGACAUUUUGGUGACGUUGCUCUCACUUCUGUUGUAUCUGUAUAUAAAAAUGAUGGACGAACCAAUCAUGCUGUCAACGACAGUGCCUGACUCCUCCUUUAAAAAAAUGCGUGAAUGGACAACCACUGUUCAGUCAAAGCAGCCACAAAAUAAUUAUGCAUAACCCUUAACCCUCUUUGUCAUGUAUCUUAAAAUUAGCUGCAGAGACCAAUACAUGGCUCUAAGCAGGUUUAUUUCUCCUGUAAACUAUAGAAGAAGAUUGACUUGCUUCUGGAGCCAGCCUCAGGUGGCCAUUCAAGGAGCUGCAGUUUUUGGCGCUUCCACAUUUUCUUCAUUUUUUAGCCCCAGAGGCUGCCGCUUGGCCACGGUGGCUUUCUUGUUUUGAAGGCUCCUUUAAAUUAAACCUGUGUUUUCUUUUGCUGGUUUACUCAAAAUGUUAUUCCCAUCCGAGCUCCAUUUAAAUGAAUAUCCUAGCCGCAAUGACACAUUUUAAAGUCGCAAAUUAAGGAUGCAGAGUGAGCGUGUGAAGGGCAGAAGAUGUGUGUGUGUGAGGGCUAUGAGAGGAUGCGUCAUCAGCAGAGGAGGGAGAUUUUCAGGGGCUGUUAUGGAUAGAUAGAUACACACACACACAGAGAGCAGUGGGAUUCACCAGAUGACUAACAAGCUGCUAUGACAGGGUGAGCUAAUGUGACCUCGUUCAGCUUAGAUUCUCCUGUUGUCUGCAGCAGCUUCACUUUAAACUGAAUACAGACACAGCGGCAGCAUUUUACCAUUCAGUGAAAUCCUCUUUAACACAGAAUGUUCUCUCAAGGUGUAACAAGACAUACAUUAUGCAUAAGCUGAGUUCUGCCAGAGUGUUAUUAAAAGCAUAAUGAUAAAGCCACUGAAACUCAUGUACGGUAUCACGUUGAUGUAUCGUUUAAAGGAUAAUUCCAUUAUUUUUAAACCUGGGCCCUAUUUUCCAAUGCUUUUGGAUCUAAUUGAUGAACCCUAUGAACCCCAAAACCUGUAGGCCAAUUUGAACUGAAUGUUUUCUUUUAAAAAAAUAAAUAAAUGACAGCAUUUUUCCAAGCCAGAGACAUAAUUGUCAUAUUUUCAUAGUCCAAUAUCCUUGAAUUAACCACGUGUGACUUCUGGUUCUGUCAGUAAAUCCCUCACCAAAUCUCAGCUGAAGAUCGUGAUAUUUCAUCAGACUCACUUUAUUUUUCAUUGUCAUUUUUAAAAAUUGCUGAAAUAGCACUUUACACUAACAAGAUUUUGCAAAAAAACAAAACAAAAAAAUUGCACUCUUUGCCGCAACCAAGAAGCCAUUAGAUUUUUUUUUUGACUGAACUGGGCUGAACUGCAGGUUGUGUUUACACAGCAUACAGGAGAAAAAUAUGAAAAUGAACUACAAAUGCAAAUAGUAAAAUAUAAAUAGUAUGAAAUAUAUAUAAUGUCUAGAGUUACUAUUUUUUCAGUAUUGGUAACACCUGUGGUCACUUUUUAAUUUUUUUGUAAAAUAAAUAAUCAAGUAAAUUCAGCUCUUUAAACUGUUUAUAGUAUUAUAGCUGUGUCAUACUGCACAAAACACAUUUUUGAGGUACUUUACACUUUUAGCCAUGGUUGUGUUGUUUUUACAGAGGUCCAGAACUUUAUUUUGCAAUGAAAACUAAGCUGUCAGCCAUAAUGAAACAAGAGCAUAAAGUAGCCACAAUCUGCUUAGAGUUCAGGUGGUUUAUAGGGAUGAAAAUGUUUGGAAUUGGUCCAAUACUGACAAUGACAUUUUAACCGUUAACUGUGAAAUGGCUGCUGUAAUCUCACAGGUCAUUUGUCUGUGUCAAACUAAAGUUCUUUUUACCACUGACAGUCUCAGAUUGUUAAUAUAAAGUUAUGGAUUUGAUUCUUACAGAGACAGACAUGUGUAACAUAUAAGAAGUGUCACAGAAACGGGAGAUGUGUUGGGUUUUUUGCAUUAGGAGAUGGGGCGUCUCGUUUCCUGCUCUUGAAAAACUUCUAAAAUAACUGUUGUCAUGAAUACACUAAGAGGAAGCAUUCAUAUGGACUCCUCUAAUUAACAUGGUACAUGUGACCCUACUUGAAGCUACCAAGAGAUGGAGUACAGAAAUUGUAGGUUGCUGCUGUCUAAAGGAUUAACAAAAUGAUUUUUUGUUUGUUUUGUUUUUCCAAAUUGUUGCAAAAAAUGGAACACCACACUUUGUAAUGCUUUUACGUAGGACCUUUGAGGGACAGAAACAUGCUCAACUUGAGGCUAGUUGCGCCAGAAAUGAACAAAAACGAUCCUGUCUGUUCACUGCAUCGUUCAGGUCAUCAUGUCUGCAGUGAAUGUUUUGACCAAGAUGACCGCUGCCAGUCAAGUCGGAAAAGAAAUCCAAAGUCACAACACAUUUUCCCCCUCGAAUCGUUAUACUAAGAGUGCAGAGAACUGCUGCAGACAGAGUGUAAUUAGUAAAGUUGCUGACUUGGUGUCAGUGCACACGACAGCAUGGCAGGAUAACAGCAAAAGCAGUCACUUAAUAAGCCAGUAGUAUGUCCAGAUGCCCUGUGGAAUAGAACCCAUAUACAAGAGGUCUGUGUGAGCCCAAGAACUGUGCACCAGAUCCCUAACUGACGUGUGGGAAACUCUCCACAAACAUAAAAAAUUAAACAAACUCUUAAUUUAGAGACUUUACCGAUUCAAUGCUAUAAACUUCAUGAAAUGUUCAUGCACACAUUAUUCCCAACACUUCUGAGUCCAUUGACCUCUCAAAAUUGUAAUCUCAGCAACCUGACCUUGAAGUAAGACUUCUAGAAACCUUAAAGCAUUAAUUGUAUUAAAUUCCAUCAUUAUUUAUUUCAGAUUUUGUCAAAUUACUUCAAUGUGUGAAUGGAAACAAAUUAUCCUACAGGAGAAAAGCACAUUUUAAAGCUCUUCCAGGCUUACGUUUGGCCUGAACAUAUCUGUACAUAUUUAUGCUGAGAGAAACUCAUUGAGGAUAUACAGUGAAACCAGGAUGUCUGUGUUUUCUUCUUUGCAUUUCUUUGCCUCUUUACGGGAUAUUUGCAACCCCUUUUCUAACCUAAUUACAACAUAAAUACUCACUUUGAAAGUCUCAGCUGAUUUAGCUAUUUGCACAAUUUAUACUGUGAAAUGCAUUCAGUUCCAGACAUGAGAGAGAUGUUUUGUCACAUUGAAUUUAGAACAUCUACAUGCAUAUUGCAGAGAAGAAGUGAGGUCAUGGUCUCGUUUUGCAAAUUUACAUUACCUACAGUGAGAGACAACAUUUCUCUGAAGCUACACUAAAUGCACAUCAGACUAGGUGGUUUAAAGUGACAUCUGCAAGAAACUGAAUGCAGCAAGCACUUAAAAAAGACAUUUUAGUGACAUUACAGAAUUGAAACACACACUUUCCUGUGUCUCCACAUCUUGUUCAUCUCCUCAGUCAGACAUUGCCCAAUUUUCAGGGCAUUAGAUUAUUAAAAUGAGUCGUGGAAACAUAAAACUGCUGAAUAGAAUCAAAGUGAUGGAUUACAGCCACAUUUAUAAAAAUCACACCGGAGGUGAUUAUCGCAUUAAUUUGCACUUUUUGCCAGCAUUACAUUUGCAUUAAUGCGUAUUAUUGGCACUGGACACUAUCUCAAAAUUACCAAAGGCUUGGCUUCCCCAUCACCUCACCCUCUCCAGUCACGUCAUCCAUUCAUUCCUUCCUCCUCCCUCCCUGUCCUUUCCCCUUAAGGAAACUCAGAUGUGAGUCUGGUCACCUCUGACUCUGUAAAGUUUUAGGGAUUAAUUGUGUCCCGGGGCGACGAGGGAAACGCUGCUUCACCUCUGCCAAAAACUUAGAAGAGAGGAGGACGAUGACGACAUCGCCCAUCAGUUCUGUUGCCCCGCCUCCGAGUGCAGUAGCCCCUCCUCUAGGUAACCAGGGGCAACCAUGAGACGCUCCCCUGCCCAACUUCCCCCGGGUAAAUCGAGGGGUGAUUAUGAACCCCGGUCCUCCCUGCACCAUGGCUGUGUCUGUCUCUUUUUUUGACCUCUAAACACCAAACAGCAAGAAAACUGAUGAGCUGAAAAAGAUACAAGAAUUUUUUUCACAUUAAAGGCUUGUUUGUUGAGAAAAAUUUGAGGCUGCAAAAUUAAGAAAACUCAGCCUUUAAAAGAAAAUGAUGAAGCUGGCUUUUGCAACUCUGCUGCUGAUCCGACUUGUUUCUCUUUUCUUUUAAACCUGGUGACAGAUUUUCUUAAAGUUUAACAACCCUGGGUUGAACAGUAAAAGUUGCGUUGCAGCUUUAAACCAACAGGACCGAUCUUCGUCUCCUACCUGGAAACAUUCAAGCUCACACCUGUUUCAGCCGGUUUGUUCGGUGACUCAGCUGAAUGUCAGCGAUGAGUCUGCAGUUUUGUGCAUAAUGUGAACACAUCAGACAGUCUUUGACCUCCUUCUGAGGACAAAUUCAGACCUUGUCUCUUCCCUCCUGGUUUGGGUCUGAACGGGGACUUUAAGAAUUUAUCCUCCCUGUCCAAGCAUGAAGCCAUGACCCCUCUGUUUCCUGAUGAUGCUGUGCCCAGAGCCCGAGGUAGACAGAGUUCGGCAAGGGUUGGACAGCGCUCGAUGUGACGAUGUGCCCCAGGUUUAUUUAUAACAUCACCAUGAUAGCACUGAAACAUCAGCAGGUAGCGCUGCGAUGUCCCAACUCUGUCUAUGCAGGGCUCUGGUCUGUUGUACAGCAUGUCUUCACUGCAUCACGUCAAACUCUUUGGAAGGAAGGACUCAAGACUCAGCUAGUCUUGGACUGAAAGAAUCUGUUAGCAAGUUCAUGAACUGUACAUGCCACUCUGGCAGGUAACCACACAUCACUUGGAGGUCUUCUUCUGUAAACCUGGUCGGCUUAAAUAACCCGCCACUGGAGUCAUGAAUUUGGUCUCCUUUUUCUGUCUUUUGUAGAGUUACUAUCAUCCCUACAUACCGCAACCUGGGUUCUCCUUACAACUGCUUCUUUUCUUGUUUCAACAAUCUACUUGCACCCAAAUGCAACACUGGAGCAAGAGUGAGCAGCGGCCAGUGUGCUCAGUGAGCAAAGUGUUGCUGUACUGAAGUACAUCAGGGAAAGUUUAUGUUCUUUGUCCUGUAGUGUGAGAAAUGACACUGAAGUGCCAAAAGUGAGACUGGAGUUUGGUGUAAAGAUCACAAGAAGGACAUUUCUUUAAAAAUAAUUACAAUAACCAUGGAUAGUUAUGCAAAGAAAUAAUGCAUACCCAUGUCAAAUUUUGAUUUAUAGUGAUCUUUUUAUUUGACUGGUAGAUUUCUUGGAAAUGACAAAUUAUAAAAAAAGACAGUAAGACAUUGUGUUAAGAAAUGCUAAUGAUUAAUUCUAACUACUUCUAUGUCUGUGGAUUUUUUUUUUUUUUUUUUUUUUAACAUUUUUUCCAAAACAAAAUGUCAAGUCCAUAAUUAUUUAUGCCCCUUGGAGAAAAUGCAGCUUCUAAGCCAUUCCAAAUGAUCUUCCUGAUUUUGAUCAUCUUUGAGAGUGUUCUAGUACAUUAAAUUGAGAAGAGCUGGUGCAGGAGUUCUCUAGUCUGUUACUGGUCAAUUGCAAGUCAUGGCUAAAACCACAGGGUUGGUUUGGAGCGGCCCAGGCAGAGGCUAGACCUGAAUCCUAUUAAGAGUCAAGACCAGAGUGAUGGCGAGAAAGUCUUCAAUCUCAGAGACGAGUGGAAUAACAUCCUAGUUGAAACAUGCAUACCAAGAACACAGUUAAGAUUCAUUGUGAACAUCUCUAACACAAUGUCGCUGGCUUAUGUCAUUUUCAGCCAGAAGAAACCUAUUGCUUAAAUAAAUAUUCACUGUGUAUCAACAUUUGGCAUGACUAUGAAUAAUUAGGAACUAUAAAUCACGAUAACUAGCUUGGUGCUAAGUUGGCGUGGCCACAAUUAGAAGCUAAUUUCUGGCCCCUUUUUGCCAAGCGAGUCACACUGAAGAUGAAGUAGCGGACAGGCCUGCUGAGGCUCAGGGCGCCAUAUGCAAAGUAAGUCAGCUUAAUACAGUGAUGGAGAAAGAAAAACACUUGAAGUGCUUCCCCCCGUUUACAGUUUUAGGGAGAACCCUGGUGCCUAAUGUGUACAACACACACACACACACACACACACACACACACACACACACACACACACACACACACACAGCAGCUACAAGAGUCCUCAGAGAUAAUACAAUGACAUGAGUGAUAUUACGAUGACAUUUAGUAUGUUUACAUGCACAACGGGGAGCAACCAGCUUUAAGGCAAUAUUUUUAUGGUGUCAGCUACAGUAAAUGUAUCCGUGUAAUAAUAAUUAUCUACCAUACAUGUAGUGUGACAUGACGACUGCUUCUGAUCCCAUCUUACAUGCAGACCAAGCUCUUUUUAAUGAGGCAGACAGUCCCAUCUGUUCGCUCAGCUAGAGCUGCAGAUCUUGUGUCAAGUAUUUGUGUCACCCAGAGGUGUCUGAAGGACGCAUCUGAGCCUGAAGUUAAGGUUUGAAUACGUCACUUAAAGGUGUCAAAAAAGAAGGGAAGCAGCCGUCACCAGGGCUGGAUGUCAGUCAAGUCAAACACACUACAAAGAGCCCUGCUAGCAUUCACAUUAUUUUCAUGCUUAGAAAGUGUUACGUAUAUCAUAGAUGUUUGUAAUUGGCAUUAAUUGUUUCUACAUUCAUUUGUUUUUCAGUGAGCGUUUAUUUUUAGUACUCACUGACAAAGAACUUUUUUAAUGCAGUGCUGUGCAGAUUUGGACCUGGUGGGGGUCGUUACUUAUUAUGGACGGUCCAACUUAGAGGUGAUUUAAUCCUGCAUUCUUCCUAACAGCCAGCAGGGGGCGACUCAUCUAGUUUCAAAAAGAAGUCAGACUCUAUAGUAGCCAAGAUCUGUGCGUCCAUAACAUGUUUUUAUAAGCAUUUUGAACUUUUGCAUUCCAAAUGGUUUAUAGAAAUGACAAAAUUUGAGAAAAAUUCCCCAAUCCUUGAAAGUGAUUAAAAGCAUGACCAGCACUAACUGACAUGGAAGAAUAAUUUCAGUUUUCCAGAUUGAAAACAACUCCUGAAGAUUUAUCUCCAUUUUUCACACCAAGAUAACUCUUCACCUACAGUUUAAUACUGGUGUAUUUGUUUUGAACAGUAUGGCACAGGUUGCGGUUUUUGGUCAUUUGCUGUCAUCCUGCUUGAUACAUAAAAUACCCAGGUGGUUCUGACAUAACGCUGAGUGCAAGCAUUAGCAAGCUGGCCUAACUAGCUUCUACUUUCUGAGAGGAAGAGUAAUCAAAAACAAAUGUGACCUUAUCCUGUCAGUAAUGGAAAUUGACUGAAAUUUUAACUUGACUUUAAGAAACAACUGCAGCUUAAGACACUUAAACAUCAACUUCAUCACUCAGUUUUGAUGGUUGCUAUUUGGCACGAACCAGAAUCAGGCAGAAAACAGCUCUUGCUGCUGGUGACUAGCCCUGGCCAGCAGAAUAUCUCAAAAGCAGCUAACAUUAGCUCUAACUAUGGUGGAACAAGCUUGGCUGUCCGAUCUUGAUCAAAUUUAAUUAGCUGUCACCACUUGGGAGGUUUGGUCGGGUAAAACAUCCAUAAAUAAACAUGUCCACAGACAUCUGUUAGAGUGAAGCUUGGUCUACAUGUAUGUCUGCUCAGAUUAAGAUCAAAUUAUGAUAAUUUGGUUUCGUGUGACAGUUUCAGAAGUCACAGUAUUGCCUUAAUUACUACAGUGCACGUAAACACACUCAGUGACUUCCUCUCUGAGAGUGAGGAAGCUGAAGGAGGUGGUGAUGAAGGGAGCAACAGUGGAGCUCUUUGUCUUUUCUCCUCUCUGUUUUCUUUACACUGUCACCUGUCUUUGUCUGUGUGUUUAACUGUAGCUUUGACUCCUUCCUGUUCCUUCUCUUUUCCUCUCCUUCCCCCCUCCCAAAGAAAGAAAGACAUCCUUCUGAUUCAAGUAAAUCAAAGAAAAGACGUAAAAGAGAAAAAACCUCUUCAUAGUACAUAUGGAGCUACAGAAGAAACCCUCUGAUAGAUGGACCCAUGACAAAGUCCAGGCAUUGUUAAGUAUCCCAGUGGGAUUUUGAGUCAGCAAAACUUUUUAUGCCUCUUGUUGUUUUUGUAUUGUUACGAGCAAAAAUAAUGUAGCAAAGCAGUUGUUUCAGCUGGCAAAUUUGCCUAAUCUUUGCUGGGCCUUUAGACCGCAGUGGAAACAAAAAUAUCAAAAUGGGUUUCGUUCCUUGGAAACUUGGUAGAAAGACAUCCUCUGGUGGAAACACAGCUAAUUAAAUGAAAGCGUCCAUCCCUUGUACAUUACUUUUAAUGAACAGCAGGCUACUACAAGACUGCAUAGUACAUUAGAUAGUUUGGAAAAUUAAAGCUGUGCAGUGUUACACCUGUAAGUGAUGACACAAAAUGAGGAUGAAGCACAAAUACCACACUACACCGCACUAUAACAAUACUCAGAUACAAUAAAAAGUUGUGCAUUCAAAGUUUUACUCCCAUCAAACUAGUCUAUAUUAGCAUUUUUAUUCUAAUUAUGGAUGCUUCAUCUGUAAGCAUUUUAAUCAAGUUAUUUAAAUUGAUUCAAAUUUUACCAGCUUUAUGAGGAUUGGGGUGUAUUAUCAUUAUGCAGCAUAGGAUUGCUGUUCAGCCCCUUUAAAAACAUGACUGACCCUCUUUACGCUUGGUUUUAAAAUGUAAUCCAAAUACACAUGAACAACCAUGCGGUUCAUCCUGCUGUUUAUCAUGCAUCUCCGAGAUGUCCAGCAGGCCACACAGAGUGGGCUGAAAAUGAAGUGCCCAAAACUGUAGUUUCUCAAAUGGCCACUUGGGACUGGUUCCAAAAGUGAGUCUAUCCCCAAAGACCUACUUGUUAUUGUGUCCACCAUCACAGCAGACAUAAACAUGGUGUUGGUUUCUGUAGCUGAUUUUGUCGUUCGUGACAACUGUAUGGGAGGUGAAUUACAAUCCACCGUCAUGGGUCAGUCCAUUGCCCACCUCAGCUCCUCUCACACUCCACCUCUGUGCUUAUUUUUGGAUUACCAAGCAGUAUGGGACAGUCAUCGCACUGAGUUUCAAAACUGCUCUUCAGGAAACCUGUGGGUGACAUCACAGAGGAGUCAGCCAUCUUUAUAUACAGUCAAUACUUAGUUACAGUCAAUAUUCCAUUCCCUGUGUCACUUCUGCGAGGUUAAAAGAACUCAGCCAUAGACUGGAAAGAGAAGAUGGGGAUAGUCACUAUGACAUCCCCCAUUGGUUUAUGGACUUUUAUUCCAGUUUUAAAGCCUGGAGCUUGGAAUUUAGUUGCUGCCGACUUUUUUUUUUUUUUAAGUCAAAUGUAGUGAAUGACAGGUUGAUCUGACUGAGAAUUAAUGUGAGUUAAAUGUAUGCUGUGUUAGAACCUAAUCAGUAAAGAUCUUUCCAUGUCCCACAAAGCACAUUAAUUCUUUUUGGUAUAUUGAAUUUUUCUAAUGCUAUUCUCAAAAAUGCACCUAAAAUACAUUCUAGAAACACAGCUAAUGUGUCCCUGUGGGUAUUUAUACUUAUAUUUAGUGCUGACCAGUUUUCUAAAACCAAUUGUAAACAUGGUCUUGUUAUAUUUGUCCACAGUAAUUACUCCCUCUGAAACAUAGUUGAACUUCAAGUGAAAUAAAGGACAUCUACAUUGGACUUAUGUAUAGUUUUUAAGAAAAUGCACGUAGUUACUCUCCACAUCUGCUGUGCAGUAAAGAGUAAACUGUUGAGUCCUGCUUGUCAUUCAUUAUUGCCCUACUUUCUCUUGAUGUAAAUGAUAACAGCAGACCAUAAAUUAGACGCUACUAUGUUUAUUUAGAUUAUUUAAAGUCUUUGCACAGUUUGUCAGCUUCAUCUUCAGUGACAGUCUGUCAGCUUUCCAACCUGGACGUCAUGAUUAUGAGGCUCUUUCCAUCACAUUAAGUGCUGACUGCCAGUGAAACUGCAGUAAUUUAUGGGAACUACAUUUGGGAAGAAAUGAUGUAAUAAAUCGGUGAUAAUAGAUAAAAAAUGCCAAUUCUUUAUCGUAGUAAUUGUCCUGUCAUCUCAGUGUGCAGGGAAAUUAUAUAAGGUUUGAUAAGAUAGAACUUCUAAUGUGCCAUACUCUAUAUUAAUACAUUAUCCUGCACACUCUGCACUUCUGCCAAAUGAUACAUGCUGCAAUUAACCAAAACCAGUCAGUGAUAUAUUAGAGUCGUUUGGUAAUUGUAGAACUCUUAACCCAAGAAAAUAAGUGAUGUUUUAGUAUUAUUUUUUUUCCAUUAACAACUUAGACGUUCCCCUACUUAGAGACUGCAUGUUUUUUGAUGCACUUUUAUUUUAAUGUAGCUACACAUAAAAUCUGACUUGAAUGCUGUGGAGACAAUCAUUGUAUUAAGAAUUAAGAAAUUUGAAAUACACAGUAUGCAACUGAAGUAAGGUCACCCCUGUGCAAUAUCACUUAAAUGUCAAAUUACUCUAAAUUGUGUCACCUCACCUCACCUACCUAAGCAGAACAGAGGGAACUCAAUGUAACAAAAGUUGAUUCAUCUGUCUUUAAUUUUAACUAUAACUGAGAUUUAAAUCUUUUAUUUUUUCAGUACGUCAUAUGUCCACCUUUAUUUUUGACUCAGUCGGACUCGAUCCUGCUUGACGUGGGAGGAUACAAAUUUUCAUGCAGAUAUCAGAGACUAUUUUUUUCAGUUGCCCUUUACUCCAGCAGUUUAGUUGCUCUACCUUUCUCUUUAACCCUCAUGUUGUCUUCACUUAUGGGCACCAAAAAAUACUGUUUCCUUGUCUGAAAAAAAUCCCAAAAAUCAGCAAAAAAAUUCCCCAAAUUUCUGAAAAUUUGCAAAACCUUCAGGAAGAAAAUUCCAAUAAUUCCUUAAAUGUUUCCCUUAAAAGUUUUUUUUUUUUAAUCCCCCAAAUUUGGCAAGAAAAUUCUUGUAAAUAUUUUCAAAAAAUGAGUAAAAAUCUUCCAAAAAAAUCCGAACAAUAUCAAAAGUGAUUCCAUAUAUAUCAGUAAAACUUCUAAUAUUUUCUUUAAGAACACUGACAUAAAAAUCAACCAAAAUCCAGCGAAAUUCACUGGAUUUUGGUUGAUUUUUUUGUGAAUGUUCUUAAACAUUUUUAACAGUUCUUUUUUUCCACCAAAAAAUGUUCAAAGAUUUCCCAAAAAUGUUGAAAAUGUGGGCAUCAGAAGUUUCACUGUGAAAAUAUAUUUUUUCCACAUUUUCAAACUUUAAACCGGGUCAAUUUUGACCUGCAGGACGACACGAGGGUUAAAAUACCCCAGAGAUGGUCCACUGGAUUCAAGUCUGGCAACACACCUGGCCAGGUCAUAGUUUCAGAGUUUUCUUAUUUAGAGACUGGUGUGAUAGGCAGUGUGCUUUGGAUCUUUAUUAUCAUAGAAUAUUCUUCUUCUGCAAAGCUUCUGCAGACUUGGAGUGAUUCAAUUCAAUUCAAUUUUAUUUAUUUAGUGCCAAUUAUAGUUCAAAUGGUCUCAAGACACUUUACAGAACCCAUGAUCUUGUCAGUGUUUUGUCCACUGGCAUUUACAGUACCAUAUGUAAAUGUCAUCUUCCCUGACACCUUUUUCACUUCUCCAGAGCAAGUAUCACCAAUACUUCCAUCUCUGUGCGUCAUUGUCAGGACUAUGCAUUCACUGUGGUAGUCCUGCACACAGUCCAGUUCAGUACAUGCUGUACUCCAUCUGAGCUCAACAAAUUUAACUUGGUCUCAUCUACUCAAAGAAUCCCCUCAAAAUAUUCAUUAGGCUUCUUUUCAUGUUUUUUUUUUUUUGCAAAGUUUCAUCUUGCACUUUUGCUCCAAACAGUGAGAAAUGGUAUUUUUCUUGAAUGUCAUCCAUAGAGGUUGACAUUAUGCAAUGUCCUUCUCACUACCUGAGCUGUCACAGAAACUCUGAUUCCUACUGAUAACCCCUGUGCCAAGAGUGAAGCAAAUCUGUUCUUUAGAGCUAGAUUGUGAAAAUAAUGCACUAUCUGUGGCGUUAUUGUUGCCAAUGGCUGAUUAGUGGUACUGUGGCUUGUUCUGUACUUUCUGAUUACUGCUGCAGCUGAUGUUUUCAAUGAUCUGUGUAGCUUACAGACAACUCAUAGGUCCAAAACAGAGAAAGUUCUGGUGUUCACAGUUCAUUUUCUAAUGAUGUUCAUACAGUUAACCUGGUUGGAACUUACAGGUGUAUUCAGUUUGGUUUCAAAGAUCACAGGUUUUCUAACUUGGGUGUGGGUGAUUACAGGUGUAUUCACUUCUGGCCCAUUGAUUUUCUGUAUUUAUUUUGACUGUAUUUUCAGUAUAGACUUUCUUAAGAAUUAUUUUUUUGAUUGUUCAAAAGAGGAAAUACUGUAUUUGUCAACUUAGACACGUCAUUAUUGAUAAGCGAUGCAAUUUUAAAUAAUUUGACAUUUAAAUAAUAUUGCACAGGAGUGAACUCAGUGCCGUUGUGUAAUUUAUUAUGCAAUGGUUCAGGAGGCUUAGAAUUUUCUCUUUUCGGAGAGUAAGAGAUUUUUAAACUUCUUUAGAACAUGAUCAACCUUGUGAUUACAAUUUUGGUAGACUAAAGUUUUGCAUGGCUAAUUUUCACUUACAUUUUCUCUAUGAGCAGGGACAUAUCUAAGUCAUUACCGUGAUUUACUUUAAGAUAAAAUCAUUCAUUACAGCUACCAUCAUACAGGUAUUGCAAAUAUUGCUAACCAUUACCUUUGUAUGGUUCAUUUUACAGCUCAGUCUAUCAGCAUUUCACACUGUUUGCUUGUUUUCAUUUGGUAGCAAUACAUUAAGAAAUCACUUAAAGCUGUGUUAGGUAAUAUGUACCGAUUUGGGGCAUUACAGUCCAAUACAGUUUUCAUCAGACAUUUUUACAUGUUAAGGUCUAAUUAAUGAGAUUAUUAAUUAAAUUUCAGCUCCCUGCUAGUGCUAAUGCCGACUCCCCGUUAUGGUCGACUGUGACACCUAACCUGAACUGUCAUUAAGUAAUUAAUCAUUACUGAUAGUCUCAUAGUUUAUUAGUUUAACUAAUUCACAUUUUCUUGAAAUAGUUCAAGUUAAUUUCAAAAUCACUUGACAGUUAUAUGGAAGCACGGCUACAGUGCUCUACAGAUUUUUUUCAUACUCAGCUAUCUGUAACUCCAGUCAGAACAAUCAGGCAUGAAAGCAACAUGCAUGCGUAGUCCACCAUCUGAUAAAUUGUAAGUCACUUUAGUUCUGCUUUUGUUCUCUGACUUCUGAAAAAAACAUAAUUGUCUUGCUUUGGUGUGGUAACACUGAGCUCGCUUCAAUUUUGUGCCAGCCAACUAGCAUACAUUUUAUGUGUUAAUGUAGCUCCAGAUCGACCAGAACCUACAGGUGGCUUUGUAGAAAGUUUGGCUGAUGUGGUUUUGUUAAAGAAAAGUUGUAGGAAGCAGAAAGCUGCCCAGAGCUGCAGCGUGAGGUCUUGAUUCUGAGUGGAACUGGCAGCACAAGAAACUCUUUCACACAGCUUGGACUCUGGGUUUGUUUAUAAGAUAUUGCUGAGAGCAUCUUUAGAGUAAUUAUCAUAGUCCUGUACGUUUACAUUAGCUUCUUCUACUCAGUAGAGUCUAUAAAGUAGCAUUCAUACGCUCUACUCAUGCAGGUUCUGUAAUGGUCUGUUAGUUUUCUCACAUACUUUUGCUAAUUCACUGAAGACUCACUGGUGCUAACACACACCCACAAACGCACACUCACACACAGACACACCAGCGUUCUGCACUAAUAAGCAGGGGCCAUGCAGGGAUCCAUUAAAUACGACAAAGCUGGACAUUAGAAAUGAAAUUGAUACAGGAAAAACCUCUUUAUCAACAAUAAUAAGUUAGGAGAUGAUCGUAUAACAUCGCCUGAUCAAUACAUAUCUGUAUUGAUCACAGCGACUUGCAACACUUCCUAGAGUUUCCACAGAGCUGCACCGUUCACCAGGCAUCACUGUAUAAAGCCAUAAAGUACUAUAUUAGAGACUUUCUUCAAGCUGAGUGAUCUUUUAGCCGUAUUUUAAGUGUUGUUGUAUGUAUUUAUACGUGUCUUAAUUAUUUUGCAACAUGUAGAUUUCUCAGAGGAUCAGUUGCUGCUUGUUGCUUCUUGUACUUCGCUGUUGCUCUUGUCUGAAGGCAAUCUCCUCCUCAUCAGCAGCACUUUUCUGUUUUCCCUGCAGCUCGUUACUUCGUGUCACCUCGCAUCUGUAGUCAGAGAGACCGGCACUGCUGGUCUCUGUGGUGAUUAUAUAACUAUUUUCCUGCACACGGGAUGGCAGAUGAGUCAUGUUGUAAAGUCAGAAGUGUAUGCAUUGGGAACAGGGAGCUGAAGUUGUCUUGUUGGCGCUCAUCAACAUGGCAUAAUAAUCUCGCUCGGUGUCGGGUUAUUUAUUCGUAACAUUUUAGCAUCUCUGCUGCCAAACUUUUUGUCACCCAGUUUCCAUCUGAUAUAAACAGAGGCAAGUUUUUAGCUUCCUUUUCCCGACACAGCGGCAUUGGAAUGAAGGCAUUUUGACAGCAAUCGUUUGGGAAAUGCACAGUGUGCCCUGCAUACUGUAUACUCUCAUCAAAUUUAAGACAAAAUACACAUAUGCAUUUGCAAUACAUGCUGUUAUAUUGAAAAUGAGAGUCGGCACCUCUGAGUAUAAGGACAUGGUUCUCUGCCAGAAACUGGAGGCUUGCUCCUUCCGGGUUAGAGGCGAACUGCUGCCCCAAGCAGAGUGGUUUUAGUAUCUCGCGAUCUUGUUCACAAGUGACGAGAAAAUGGAGCGUGAGAUAAUGUGGGCAUUGUUCCGGACUGACGUGGUGAACAUGGAGCUGAGCCAGAAGGUAAAGCUCUCAAUUUACCAGUCAAUCUACAUUCCAACCCUCAUCUGUGGUCAUGAGCUCUGGGUAGUGACCCAAAGAAUGAGAUAAAAGCAGCAAAUAUCCUCCGUAGGGUGGCUGGGCUCAGCUUGAGAGGUAGGGUGAAGACCUUGGACGUGUGGAGGGAGCUCAGAGUAGAGUCGCUGCUGAUUCGUGUUGAAAGGAACCAGCUGAGGUAGUUGGGGCAUCUGAUUCUAAUGCCUCCUAGAUGCCUUCCUUUGAAGGGUUUCAGGGCAACUGUUAGGAGACCUUGGGAGGAGCUGAAAGGCAUUACAGGGAAGAGUGACAUCUGGAAUGUCCUGCUUAGCCUGCUGAAAUCACAACCCUCCUCUGGGUACACGGAAGAAAAUGAAUACUAUUGUAAGACAAGUGUAUGUCACAAGUUGUGUUUUUAGACACUGCUUUUCUUCAGAAUACACCAAUAUUCGUAGAACUCAUACAGCAGCAUUAAUUCAGCACCAGAUGCUGUCUGAAGUUUCACAACUAUUUAGUUUGCAGACUUACGUGGCACUUUGUGUCAUUGCACUAUGAAGUUUGGUUUUUGCAACUUCAGGUUACAUACAGUGUCAAGUUAGUGCAGUUUGACAAGUCCAGAAUGGCAUAUUGUGAGUAAAAACAGUGAUUUAAAACAGUUAGCUUGUCUUCCACUAAUCUACUAGUCAGUUAAUCUUAUCGUUUUAACUCAUGAAAGGAUGAGAAGUGAGGAUUAAUAGAAGCUAUUUUUUCAUGUGAUAAACAGGCAGGUAUUUUCAGAUAAAAGUAGCGACUCUGAACUGAGAUAAUCUGGAUUUUCCCUGCUUGACUAAUCCAAUAUGUUGAGUUCUAUUUAACAACAGGAAAAUUAUCAACAUCAUAAUUACAUCUUGUAAAAGAAAAAAAGUAUUACAUACCUUCUAUUUUAUUUCCUCUUUAAUCUAAAUUUACUUUCAGAAACUCUUACAUUAGAUUAUGAAUGUUACGUUUUACCAUGGCAACAGCCAUUGUAAUCUGCUGCCAUGGAGACAAAUCAGAGGUUUGGGUAGGAGGUCAUCAUCGUAUGACGACCUCGUUAGCUCCAUUCACCCUCGCUUUGAUACUCAGCGAGGAGUCACAUGAAUAACACACACAAACACACACACACAAACACACACACACACAGAGGCUUCCUGUCGAUUGCCCUCCCUCCCCUCCCCUCCUCUCUCUCUCCUCGAGCUGCUUCUCCCCCUCCCCCUCCUCUUCCUACUCCUCCUCCUCUUUCUCAGUCUUUUCUUUGAUUUCCAGUCACCUGCUGUUUUCUUCUUGAUUCUCUCUUUCUGUGUCUCAUUAUGUAAAUAUACAGAUAGUCAUUCUUCAGUCUGUUGACUUUAUUCUUAUGUAAAUUAUUUAAAAAAGAGAUCGACUAUGGAUGAUAUACAAUAUAUUAUAAAAGUAUGAAAUACAAAAGAACUGAAAACAAUGAGAAUGUACAUGAUGAUGACGACGAUGGAACUGAUGAUCAUUUCUGUGCGAUGAUUAACAACUGUGAAGAUGAUGUCAUGCUAAUGACUAUUGCACUGGUCAGUGAUGAGGAUGCUGAUGGUGGCGAAUGAUGAAGAUUAAGAUUAAAAACUCAUUCAAAAGAA